This 423-nucleotide ribosomal RNA is filed under the name uncultured organism. RNAcentral describes it as "bacterial SSU rRNA". It matches the Rfam family "Bacterial small subunit ribosomal RNA", at positions 355 to 775 of the family's 1533-position model. The record is from RNAcentral.
UAAGGAAUAUUGGACAAUGGAAGGAAUUCUGAUCCAGCCAUCUCGCGUGCAGGAAGACAGCCCUCUGGGUUGUAAACUGCUUUUAUAAGGGAAGAAUAGUAUGGAUUAAUCCGUAUAUGACGGUACCUUAUGAAUAAGCACCGGCUAACUCCGUGCCAGCAGCCGCGGUAAUACGGAGGGUGCGAGCGUUAUCCGGAAUUACUGGGUUUAAAGGGUGCGUAGGUGGUAAUUUAUGUCAGGCGUGAAAUACUUUUGCUUAACGAAGGGAUUGCGUUUGAAACUGGAUUACUUGAAUUAGGAUGAGGAUAGCAGAAUGUGACAUGUAGCGGUGAAAUGCAUAGAUAUGUCAUGGAAUACCAAUUGCGAAGGCAGCUAUCUGGCCCUAUAUUGACACUGAGGCACGAAAGCGUGGGGAUCAAACAG